This 468-nucleotide ribosomal RNA is filed under the name uncultured bacterium. RNAcentral describes it as "partial 16S ribosomal RNA". It matches the Rfam family "Bacterial small subunit ribosomal RNA", at positions 28 to 507 of the family's 1533-position model. The record is from RNAcentral.
GACGAACGCUGGCGGCGUGCUUAACACAUGCAAGUCGAACGGAAAGGCACUGAUUUUGUGGGGUGAUCGAGUGGCGAACGGGUGAGUAAGAGGUGAGUAACCUGCUCUAGACUUUGGGGUAAGUUAAGGAAAGUGGGGUUAAUCUAGGAUAGGAGAUCAUGCUGCAUGGUGGGGGGUGGAACGUCUCGGCGGUAGGGGAUGGACUAGCGGCUUACCAGCUUGUUGGUGGGGUAGUGGCAUACCCAGGAAGUGACGGGUAGCCGGCCUGGGAGGGUGACCGGCGUCAUUGGUACUGCGAUACGGCGCAGUCGCCUACGGGAGGCAGCAGUGGGGAAUAUGGCACAAUCAGCGCAAGCCUGAUGCAACAACGCCGCGUUCGGGAUGACGUCCUUCUGGUUGAAAACCGCUUUCGCCUGUUACGAAGCUGUAGUGACGGUAAUGGAUAAAUAAGCACCGGCUAACUACGUG